Molecule: non-coding RNA, 21 nt
Organism: Caenorhabditis elegans
Lineage: Eukaryota; Metazoa; Nematoda; Chromadorea; Rhabditida; Rhabditidae
Source: Ensembl
UUCCAGACACACAGAAGGAAG